Long non-coding RNA from Alligator mississippiensis (American alligator), 1131 nucleotides. RefSeq lists it as uncharacterized. The transcript is spliced from 4 exons. NCBI's taxonomy places the organism in Eukaryota, Metazoa, Chordata, Crocodylia, Alligatoridae. The record is from RefSeq and is a predicted model, not a curated record.
GGGAGGGAACUCAGCCCCCAGGACUCAGCCAGGCUCAGAGAAGGGAAGGAGCCCCGGGACCACAGAGAUAGGGGAGGAACCACACUGCAGCCUGCCUGUAUAGUGAACCUGCCCUUACUGAUGGGGAAAAGAUAACCUGCUAUACUUUUUCCCCUCUGUGAGGCAGAGGAGCCCAUGUAGAGAAAAAAGGGUGAUACCACAGACAGCUGGAGCAGAGGAGAGCUUUUCUUCCCCAUGCAGGCUCUAGCAGAGAGCAAGAUUUUCUGAAACAGCUGCACCAGCCAGGGUUAUUGUGUUGCCAGUGUGAAGGGACAGAGAUGAGCUUUAUCUUGGGAACUCCUCAUUCAAAUGAUCACCAAUUUGGAUCGUAACUUCCUUACGUCUAUGAUGGGAAGAACAUGUCAAGGUGUAUUAAAAUUUCAGUCGGGGUAGAUGCUUCAAUACUACCGAUUCGUCAUGUGUGGUAACUGCUGGUAGAGGGUUUAGAAACAUGUAGUUUCACCCUCUGUCCAGGGAGAGCAGUUUUAAAUUCUAGCCACAAUAUCAAAGGAUUUCUGCUUCCUGAAGAUUAUCAAGAAUUGAUCUUCAUAAGCAAAAAAGUUUGCUUGUUUUUUUUGCCACUCAACUCCCUGGAUUGACUAUCUGUUUUCACUUGAUGGAUUUUAGUAGUCUUAUUCACUGUACUGUAAAGGUGUUUAUAGUCUUGGACUAUGUAUAUCUGAUAGUGAGGUAUGUGAUCACCUAGAAUCCACAAUGCCAUUAUUUUUGUUAAAUUGAAAUUUGCAAAGAAAUUUAGAUGUUUGGUGAUGGUUUGUAGUUGCCUUUUGUCUUUAUUGAGCAUGUGGAAAGUGAUUAAGACAAUAUAAUGGGCCAUCAGUAAUUACCUAAAAUGCAUAUUGAGCUUAACAAUUUAGAAAUAAAAGUUGAAGGAUGCCACUUGAAAGAGUUAUUCUGUUAAAGUUUGAUUAUUGCUGUGGAGAGUAAAAAAUAAGAGAUUUCACUUCUGCAGCAUUUACAAAUUUGUCUUGAUGUAUGUUGUUCCCUUUACUUGAAUAAUAUUUCUUAAAAUGCAAAACUAUGGAAUUGAACCUCUGAUGAGUUGAACAUCUUUCCUCCGUUUCCCCUUCCUUU